GAGUGGUUUGGAUGUGGGGGUUUGCUGGCCUCUUAAAAAGGUUCAGCUCCUCUGAAAUGCAUUAGCAGAACAAACCUGUUCAUUGGUGUGAUAACUAUCUACGCUAUUGAAUGUAAGGGGCAGUUCAGCUUUCUAAUGGUCUUUGGACAAUUCAUCAUUAAUGUGACCUCAAAUCAGGUAGGACUACCCGCUGAACUUAA
Molecule: unclassified non-coding RNA, 200 nt
Filed under: soil metagenome
Description: partial contains internal transcribed spacer 2 and large subunit ribosomal RNA
Source: RNAcentral